RNAcentral lists this ribosomal RNA (500 nucleotides) under uncultured bacterium. RNAcentral describes it as "partial 16S ribosomal RNA". It matches the Rfam family "Bacterial small subunit ribosomal RNA", at positions 30 to 523 of the family's 1533-position model. The record is from RNAcentral.
AUUGAACGCUGGCGGAAUGCUUUACACAUGCAAGUCGAACGGCAGCACGGACUUCGGUCUGGUGGCGAGUGGCGAACGGGUGAGUAAUGUAUCGGAACGUGCCCAGUCGUGGGGGAUAACGUAGUGAAAAUUACGCUAAUACCGCAUUCGAUCUAUGGAUGAAAGCGGGGGAUCGCAAGACCUCGCGCGAUUGGAGCGGCCGAUAUCAGAUUAGGUAGUUGGUGGGGUAAAGGCCCACCAAGCCAACGAUCUGUAGCUGGUCUGAGAGGACGACCAGCCAAACUGGAAAAGGGGCACGGUCCAGACUCCUUAGGGAGGCAGCAGUGGGGAAAUUUGGACAAUGGGCGAAAGCCUGAUCCAGCCAUUCCGCGUGCAGGAUGAAGGCCCUCGGGUUGUAAACUGCUUUUGGACAGAACGAAAAGGUUUCUACUAAUACUAGGAGCUCAUGACGGUACUGUAAGAAUAAGCACCGGCUAACUACGUGCCAGCCGCCGCGGUAA